RNAcentral lists this ribosomal RNA (253 nucleotides) under uncultured bacterium. RNAcentral's name for it is "partial 16S ribosomal RNA". It matches the Rfam family "Bacterial small subunit ribosomal RNA", at positions 524 to 776 of the family's 1533-position model. The record is from RNAcentral.
UACAGAGGGGGCAAGCGUUGUUCGGAAUUACUGGGCGUAAAGGGCGCGUAGGCGGCCUUCUAAGUCAGACGUGAAAUCCCUCGGCUCAACCGGGGAACUGCGUCUGAGACUGGAAGGCUUGAAUCCGGGAGAGGGAUGUGGAAUUCCAGGUGUAGCGGUGAAAUGCGUAGAUAUCUGGAGGAACACCGGUGGCGAAGGCGGCAUCCUGGACCGACACUGACGCUGAUGAGCGAAAGCCAGGGGAGCAAACGGG